This 73-nucleotide transfer RNA is filed under the name Gastrotheca aguaruna. RNAcentral describes it as "tRNA-Leu". It matches the Rfam family "tRNA". Rfam says of the family: Transfer RNA (tRNA) molecules are approximately 80 nucleotides in length. Lineage: Eukaryota; Metazoa; Chordata; Amphibia; Anura; Hemiphractidae. The record is from RNAcentral.
GUUAGUGUAGCAAAACCCGGUGUUGCAAAAGACCUAAACCCUUUCUACAGAGGUUCAAAUCCUCUCGCUAACU